This 600-nucleotide ribosomal RNA is filed under the name Massilia sp. RNAcentral describes it as "bacterial SSU rRNA". It matches the Rfam family "Bacterial small subunit ribosomal RNA", at positions 141 to 736 of the family's 1533-position model. Lineage: Bacteria; Pseudomonadati; Pseudomonadota; Betaproteobacteria; Burkholderiales; Oxalobacteraceae. The record is from RNAcentral.
GGAUAACGCAGCGAAAGUUGCGCUAAUACCGCAUACGUUCUACGGAAGAAAGUGGGGGAUCGCAAGACCUCAUGCUUUUGGAGCGGCCGAUGUCUGAUUAGCUAGUUGGUGGGGUAAAGGCUCACCAAGGCGACGAUCAGUAGCUGGUCUGAGAGGACGACCAGCCACACUGGAACUGAGACACGGUCCAGACUCCUACGGGAGGCAGCAGUGGGGAAUUUUGGACAAUGGGCGCAAGCCUGAUCCAGCAAUGCCGCGUGAGUGAAGAAGGCCUUCGGGUUGUAAAGCUCUUUUGUCAGGGAAGAAACGGCUCCGGCUAAUAUCCGGGGCUAAUGACGGUACCUGAAGAAUAAGCACCGGCUAACUACGUGCCAGCAGCCGCGGUAAUACGUAGGGUGCAAGCGUUAAUCGGAAUUACUGGGCGUAAAGCGUGCGCAGGCGGUUUUGUAAGUCUGACGUGAAAGCCCCGGGCUCAACCUGGGAAUUGCGUUGGAGACUGCAAGGCUUGAAUCUGGCAGAGGGGGGUAGAAUUCCACGUGUAGCAGUGAAAUGCGUAGAGAUGUGGAGGAACACCGAUGGCGAAGGCAGCCCCCUGGGUCA